GCCCGGGUGGCGAAAUUGGUAGACGCAAGGGACUUAAAAUCCCUCGGUAGAAAUACCGUACCGGUUCGAUUCCGGUCCCGGGCACCA
This 87-nucleotide transfer RNA is filed under the name Sneathiella sp. Its description in RNAcentral is "tRNA-Leu". It matches the Rfam family "tRNA". From Rfam's summary of the family: Transfer RNA (tRNA) molecules are approximately 80 nucleotides in length. Their secondary structure includes four short double-helical elements and three loops (D, anti-codon, and T loops). RNAcentral also lists the same sequence under 3 other names. Lineage: Bacteria; Pseudomonadati; Pseudomonadota; Alphaproteobacteria; Sneathiellales; Sneathiellaceae. The record is from RNAcentral.